This 279-nucleotide ribosomal RNA is filed under the name uncultured archaeon. RNAcentral's name for it is "partial 16S rRNA". It matches the Rfam family "Archaeal small subunit ribosomal RNA", at positions 1047 to 1325 of the family's 1478-position model. The record is from RNAcentral.
GAGACCCACGCCAACAGUUGACAGCACGUUCUCCGGAAUGGUGGGGACACUGUUGGGACCGCCUCUGCUAAAGAGGAGGAAGGAAUGGGCAACGGUAGGUCAGCAUGCCCCGAAUUACCCGGGCUACACGCGGGCUACAAUGGACAGGACAAUGGGAAUCGACACCGAGAGGUGAAGGCAAUCCCCUAAACCUGCCCUUAGUUCGGAUUGUGGGCUGCAACUCGCCCACAUGAAGCUGGAAUCCGUAGUAAUCGCGGAUCAACAUUCCGCGGUGAAUAU